AGAUUGAACGCUGGCGGCAUGCCUAACACAUGCAAGUCGAACGGGAGUAGCAAUACUCUAGUGGCGGACGGGUGAGGAAUACGUAGGAAUUUGCCCUUAAGUGGGGGAUAACCCGGGGAAACCCGGAUUAAUACCGCAUGACCUCGAAAGAGCAAAGUGGGGGAUCGCAAGACCUCACGCUUUUGGAGAAGCCUACGUCGGAUUAGCUAGUUGGUGAGGUAAUGGCUCACCAAGGCGACGAUCCGUAACUGGUCUGAGAGGAUGAUCAGUCACACCGGAACUGAGACACGGUCCGGACUCCUACGGGAGGCAGCAGUGGGGAAUAUUGGACAAUGGGCGCAAGCCUGAUCCAGCAAUGCGCGUGUGUGAAGAAGGCC
RNAcentral lists this ribosomal RNA (377 nucleotides) under uncultured soil bacterium. RNAcentral describes it as "bacterial SSU rRNA". It matches the Rfam family "Bacterial small subunit ribosomal RNA", at positions 26 to 416 of the family's 1533-position model. The record is from RNAcentral.